This 747-nucleotide ribosomal RNA is filed under the name uncultured beta proteobacterium. RNAcentral describes it as "bacterial SSU rRNA". It matches the Rfam family "Bacterial small subunit ribosomal RNA", at positions 57 to 797 of the family's 1533-position model. Lineage: Bacteria; Pseudomonadati; Pseudomonadota; Betaproteobacteria. The record is from RNAcentral.
GCAAGUCGAACGGCAGCACGAGAGCUUGCUCUUGGUGGCGAGUGGCCAACGGGUGAGUAAUAUAUCGGAACGUAUCCAAUAAUGGGGGAUAACUAAUCGAAAGGUUAGCUAAUACCGCAUACGCCCUACGGGGGAAAGCAGGGGAUCUUCGGACCUUGCGUUAAUGGAGCGGCUGAUAUCUGAUUAGCUAGUAGGUGAGGUAAAGGCUCACCUAGGCUUCGAUCAGUAGCUGGUCUGAGAGGACGACCAGCCACACUGGAACUGAGACACGGUCCAGACUCCUACGGGAGGCAGCAGUGGGGAAUUUUGGACAAUGGGCGCAAGCCUGAUCCAGCCAUUCCGCGUGAGUGAAGAAGGCCUUCGGGUUGUAAAGCUCUUUCGCAAGGGAAGAAACGAUACCGACGAAUAAUCGGUGUUAAUGACGGUACCUUGAUAAGAAGCACCGGCUAACUACGUGCCAGCAGCCGCGGUAAUACGUAGGGUGCGAGCGUUAAUCGGAAUUACUGGGCGUAAAGCGUGCGCAGGCGGUUUUGUAAGUCAGAUGUGAAAUCCCCGGGCUCAACCUGGGAACUGCGUUUGAAACUACAAGGCUAGAGUAUGGUAGAGGGGGGUAGAAUUCCACGUGUAGCAGUGAAAUGCGUAGAGAUGUGGAGGAAUACCAAUGGCGAAGGCAGCCCCCUGGACUAAUACUGACGCUCAUGCACGAAAGCGUGGGGAGCAAACAGGAUUAGAUACCCUGGUAGUCCA